Molecule: long non-coding RNA, 617 nt
Organism: Suricata suricatta (meerkat)
Lineage: Eukaryota; Metazoa; Chordata; Mammalia; Carnivora; Herpestidae
Exons: 3
Source: RefSeq, a predicted model, not a curated record
CUCCCAGAUUCUUGCAGAGAAAUGGAGCAUCAAGCCAGAAGCUUAUUAGUUUGUUUUACAACAUCGCCAUCGGGGAUUGCUUUUAAAGGUCUGCCUGUGUGUAUGCCUCUUUGUUAUAAGAGGUUACUCUAACGCUGAGGACAGUUAUCACCUGUCCUCAAGGAGAUUGAAGUUUAAGUCAGACAACUUUGGAACCAGCAGACAAGAGAAAACCCAGACAACAACCAGUAUGGAAUAAGGGCAGCAAUAACUACUACUGUCCUACAGAAAUCUCAAGGGGUGACUAGUAUCCAAAUUCCACUAAAUAAAUGGUUCAGACCUUUCUUCCUGCCUAGCAUUUACUAUUUCCAACAACUUGAACCAACAAAGAUGCUAGGAGCAGUUGCAUGGGCUUCCUUUUACUGAUUUUCAGAUGCCCCAGAAAUGUGCAUUCCCAUGGUAAAGAAGUAGGAAUCCAAAGGAUUCUUAUUUUUAUUCCCCAACAUUGCCUAGCUCUGUCAUACUACUUCCUGGUCAGUUCUGUGUGUUCCCUACCUAAUAUGCCCAAAUCAAAGCCAAGUGAAAUGUCUUCCUAAGAUUUUUUCUUACAAUUAAAGAAAUAAAAUGCAUUUAUGUAA